Molecule: ribosomal RNA, 253 nt
Filed under: uncultured bacterium
Lineage: Bacteria
Description: partial 16S ribosomal RNA
Rfam family: Bacterial small subunit ribosomal RNA
Source: RNAcentral
UACAGAGGGGGCAAGCGUUAUUCGGAAUUAUUGGGCGUAAAGGGCGCGUAGGCGGCCUGGCAAGUGGAAGGUGAAAUCCCUCGGCUUAACCGAGGAACUGCCCUCCAAACUGCUUGGCUUGAGUCCGGGAGAGGUGAGUGGAAUUCCCAGUGUAGCGGUGAAAUGCGUAGAUAUUGGGAAGAACACCGGUGGCGAAGGCGGCUCACUGGCUCAUUACUGACGCUCAGGCGCGAUAGCGUGGGGAUCAAACAGG